CCAGCCUUUCCCUUCACGGAAGACAUUGCCACAUACGGUACAGAUGAAAAAGUCAACAGCCAGACAUCCCAUGCUGGAUGCGAAUUGACAUUCUCUGCUCCCAACUGUGUGAGGGCUGGGUCAGGGAAGCACAUGCAGUUUUCCAAAGGGAACACAGCUUUAAGAAGAAUGCAAACGGACAAGAUCCAGGUUUGGCCGAACGCUUCUAAAACCUUUUGCUGCAAGAGAGGAAUAUGUAGCAUCUCCGUUCAGUGUCUCUGGGUUCCGAUCAAUACCACAAGUCUGGCACACGCGAAGUAAGUGUUUCACCAUUGACACCCAUCCCCAACUCUGAUUUUAUUUUAAAUCUUGUGAUAGUGUGCCAGACUUGCCUUAAACUUGCUGGAUGGUCCAGGCAGCCUUGAACUCUAAGUAGUUGGGGGGGGGGGUCAUAGGUCAGGCCAUCAGAACUGGUUUGGCUUAUUUUUCUACACUGACUGAGAAACAUUUAGUCUUUACCAACGACUUGAAUGGUAUGGGUUUGUUCAUAGAGCAGUUUGAAUCUCUCAAAUGUCAUCUCUAGUUCAACCCAAUGUUCUCUUUUACAGGUUAUUUUUAUAGAUGGUAAUAAAUAGGAAUUGUUAACAUGGUGUGGUGGUUUGAACAGGAAUAUUCCCCCACAGACUCGUGUGUUUAAAUGCUUAUCCCAUAGGGAGUGGCACUAUUAGGAGGUGUGGUCUUGUUGGAGGAAGUAUGUCACUGUGAGGGCGGGCUUUGAGGUCUCAGAUUCUCAAGCUACACCUAGUGUGGUACACAGUCUCUUCCUGUUGCCUUCAGAUCAAGAUGUAAAAUUCUCAGCUCCUUCUCCAGCAUUAUCUCUACCCGCUUGCCACCGUGUUUCCUGUCAUUAUGACGAUGGACUAAACCUCUGAAUAUGUAAUACAGCUCCAGUGAAACGUUUUUCCUUAUAAGAGUCGCUGUGGUCAUGGUGUCUCCUCACAGCAAUAAAACCCUAAUUAAGACACAUGGUAAGACAUUCUCUAGCAUGUGCGUCAGGGGUCACAACGGAGAUCUUACUUAGUUGAAAUGUCAAGGAAAUUCACAGUUCAGGCAUUCCAGUUAUGCGAUGUACCUUCCUUAUAUUUACUUCACACCUCCUCACUCUCAUCCAUCUAGUGCAUCUAGAGAAGUAAGUCUGUGCUUCUACAAUACCUCCUCAUACUCAUCCACGUACGAACAAACAUACUCAGAGUGGUUUUUAAACCCACAUAAGAUCUGAUUAUAUAUGUUGCUGUUUUUUGUUUGUUUGUUUGUUUCUUUGCUUCAUAAAGAAGGCUAAUAUGAGGCUCCUGACUUAACAUUUAAUCUUGGACCUUGAAAUCCACUUAUGAGUUGGGGAAGAAUGGGAAUGCCACCUUUAAAAGGUUUCUUGUUUGUUUGUGUUUUCUUUAAGGCUGGGUAGGACAUCUUCAGUACCAACUGACCACUAAACAUGUUUUUACAGAAGACUGAAAUGCAGAAUGACAAUUGAAAUUAUUUAGAGGUCCCAUUACUUUCCUCCUUCUGUUAUAUAGCUUAUUAAUCUUAGGCUUUAACCAUGUCAACAAAUUAAGUAACCAGUUACCAAGAGGCAUGGGCUGCCCCAUUAAGGCUCUAGGGGCAGGCUGGAGUCAAGUUGAUCUUCCACAAAGGCAGACUCUCCAGAUGAAGCCUGUGUCUCAGGUGGAGGUAUUAGAUAAAUGCAAGAAGAUCUGUUUCCUGUUUGCAAUCUUUGGGGAAGAACCAAAUUAAUUCUCCAAGAAAUGGAUGCUAUCUUAAUCAAGUAUCAUGUUACUUUAUCAUGUUACUUUAUCAUGAGAAUCAAGAUCACUCCUUAUAAAUGGAAGGCUGUUGUAAUGGUUUCUGUUCAUGCUCUUCAGCAGCAACUUGGUCCAAAUACAAAAGAGUUAAAGAAGCAGAGGAGUUGGAAGAACUAUUGUUAGAAUGCAAUUAUAGGAGCAGGAAGACCAUCUGUUGAAUAUAUUGUAUACAAGCAAGAGGAGGAGGAAGAAGAAACACGUGGCUUUGGUGACUUUCAAAUCUUUAUGGCAAAGAGAAAAGAUGCUACAAAGGAUAAUAUUUAACAGGGAGCACCAUCCCAGGAGUCAAGCUGUUUUGAAGGCCAUUUAAUGUUGUUAUUAUAAUGUUUACAGUGUUCUAUUAAGAUAUGAAUUUUGAAUAUUAGUUCUGGUUCACCAAUGUUUAUUUCUAUAUCUGUCUCUGUGUAGAUGAAUGAAUGUAUAUAUUUAUACACACAUAUACACAUACAUGCAUAUACAUACAGAUUUUCAAUAUAUAUGAACACAAAAUAUAAAUGGAAGAUGAUUAGCUAUUAAGCUUGAAUCUCAUUUUUGUCAAAAGUUUUGAUUCAGUCAUUGUAAACUAGAUAUAUCUCCAUCUUUUUGCUAUUCAAUAAAAGAAAACCAACUUACAAUAAAGCAGUUUAUGUUUUCCUGACU
This 2477-nucleotide long non-coding RNA is filed under the name Mus pahari (shrew mouse). RNAcentral's name for it is "sorbin and SH3 domain containing 2, opposite strand (MGP_PahariEiJ_G0002854.1)". Lineage: Eukaryota; Metazoa; Chordata; Mammalia; Rodentia; Muridae. The record is from RNAcentral.